GAAUAUUGGACAAUGGGGGCAACCCUGAUCCAGCCAUGCCGCGUGUGUGACGAAGGCCUUUUGGUUGUAAAGCACUUUAAGCAGUGAAGAAGACUCCAUGGUUAAUACCCAUGGACGAUGACUUUAGCUGCAGAAUAAGCACCGGCUACCACUGCGCCCGAAGCCGCGGUAACACGGAGGGUGCAAGCGUUAAUCGGAAUUACUGGGCGUAAAGCGAGCGUAGGUGGCUUGAUAAGUCAGAUGUGAAAUCCCCGGGCUUAACCUGGGAACUGCAUCUGAUACUGUUAGGCUAGAAUAGGUGAGAGGAAGGUAGAAUUCCAGGUGUAGCGGUGAAAUGCGUAGAGAUCUGGAGGAAUACCGAUGGCGAAGGCAGCCUUCUGGCAUCAUAUUGACACUGAGGUUCGAAAGCGUGGGUAGCAAAC
RNAcentral lists this ribosomal RNA (422 nucleotides) under uncultured bacterium. RNAcentral's name for it is "partial 16S ribosomal RNA". It matches the Rfam family "Bacterial small subunit ribosomal RNA", at positions 359 to 773 of the family's 1533-position model. The record is from RNAcentral.